Long non-coding RNA from Gasterosteus aculeatus aculeatus (three-spined stickleback), 1068 nucleotides. Lineage: Eukaryota; Metazoa; Chordata; Actinopteri; Perciformes; Gasterosteidae. The record is from Ensembl.
CAAGUGUUACACUUAAAAAGAAAGUAGUUCAGCGAAACUAAAAGUUGCAAUGUCUCAUCAACCUGUUAGUUGAUUUCAUAAAAUCCCCCCUACAACCCGCUUGUUCAUGUAAAGGUUUUUGGCCGACCUUUGACAGCCCAGUAAUGAUGAGCUUAUUCUUCUAAACUGAAAAGCAAACGGACCAUUUAUCCUCUUUAUUCUUUAUGUAUCAUGGUAUUCAAGAAAGAUGCAUAAACCUAAUUAUAUCACUAAAUGAUGGCACUCAGGGUUAACUUUAUUCAACAGUAUGUGUGUGAGGAGGUAUAAAACCUUGUUGGCCUCCACCGUUGCUCCCACACAUCUUCUCACUGCUGUGACCUUUUUACUCCCAUAAAACCCCCGCUGCUUCAACAGAGAUUUAUUACGCUUAUUCUAGCCGUUGUUGCUUUAAAGACUUUAAAUCUUCUUUUUCUUUCUUCAAUGCAUGUCUACAAUUCUACUAUUUUUAAAUCAAAAGUGUAGUAAUAGCUUGGAGAGCUUAAAAAAAAGGCUCUGCAGCAGCAGACUUGUUGUUUGAGAAUCAGUCUCUCCUUUUUUUUUUUUUUCUACCCUCGUAUGGAGGCGGUUUUUCCAAAUUACACCGUUCUUGGUUGUGUGAUGUCACGAGAGGCGCCGCCGCUCUCUCCGGGGAAGUUCAAAUAGUGCGACGACACCGGGUUCAAAAUGUAAACAAAGGUUUUAAUUUACGUCCUUCAGAUUGAACAGAAAACAGUCAAAACAGGGAGUAACUCAGGCUUCGGUCGAUCUUCGCCGGUAAAACUUAACUAAUGUCUUGUCUUUGGAGGGGAAACGGAAAACCUCUCGGUCUCUCCUGCAUUCGGGAAUCCUUCUGUCUUGGUCUGCUCUUCUGCCGCGGGCCCAAUCUGCCGCUCGUCUCUCCUCCCUCAGCGGUGUGUCUUCCGCCCUCAUGGAGGCCUCCAGGUCGUCACACCCUGAUGGGUUUCAGGUGUGAGGGGAAUGCUCUUUUGGGAUGGAGCCAUAGUGGUUACAGCCAUCGCCGGUGAACGCAUCUCCCUUCCAAGACCGAGC